Long non-coding RNA from Ziziphus jujuba (common jujube), 1103 nucleotides. RefSeq lists it as uncharacterized. Lineage: Eukaryota; Viridiplantae; Streptophyta; Magnoliopsida; Rosales; Rhamnaceae. The transcript has 2 exons. The record is from RefSeq and is a predicted model, not a curated record.
UUGGUCUCACGUGAGAAUUUUGGCCAAGGCUCCCAUUUUCCGCUUGCAGCAGCUUGAAACACCUUUGCCAAAAUUCCCAAUUGCACCACGCUUGUGAACCCACCACCUCGCACCACCAUUGCCACCCUUGCGACCCCCGCAACUCACUCCUCUUCUACUCUGGUUCCUCUUCUCCUCUUCUAGUUCCAGCCCAACAGUUCCAACCACCUCACAGAUGUGGUGGAGAUAUGGUGAUUCAUUUAGGUCCUUGCUUUUGAAGUUGGUAGAAAACACAGAGUUAGACUCAACCAAAUAUCUGCUGGUACGAACACAGAGUUAAAGUCAACACAAUAUCUGUCGGUACCUUGUCACCCCAUCUACUAAUGCAUGUUGCAACGGAACUAUCUGCAUGUGAUAAUAUUUUUGUCUUUUGUUUGACUCACGCUUCAGUUUUAAGCUACCUGGACUUUUAAAUUUCUUUAUUAUAAGUACUGAUAUCAUCUAACUACUAAACCAUAGGAAGUUGGGAACUUUAAAAGAAAGAAAAAAAAAAUAUGAUUGUAGUUUACAGUUUAAUACUGAUUCAUUUAGUCAACUGAAUAUGCUGGACAAAACUAAAGUGCCAUGUUUUGUUGUUUUAGGUCUUACAUAAAUGUUGUUGGUGGUUGCAGGAGUUAUUUUGAUGAGAAAACAAAUUAAUUUUUAUAUUUUAUUAAUAUCUGAUUGGUUUUUGAAUUGGUGGUUGCAGUUUGAAGUGCUGUUGGAGUUUUGCCUUUGUCUCUCAAGUAUAUUGUAACUAUCUAUUGCUGCAAUUAUAUUGUAAAUGAUAUGGAAUUUGUGGUAGUUAGGUUUGCUCCACUCAAGCUUUUAGUACAGAUGAUUAUAACUUUUGGAUAUAUGUCUCCAUCUAAUGGAACCUAAGGAGGAAGGAAGACAAAAAUUUGGUGCCGUUAGGAAAGCUGGUUUUGCUAUGUAGUAGUUCUCACGGUGUAGUGCUGCGUUGUUGCUGCUCGUGGACAAAAAAAAAAAAAAAAAAAAAAAACUAUGGAUUUUGUUAAAUGUAGUGCCGAGAUGCUUGCUUGUUAAUGUGGGCUUUGUUUAAUAGAAAAGUGUUUAAUUGUUGA